CAUUUACCUGCUUCAUUUGUUGAAAAUGUCCUUGAAGAUUAAGCAACCUCGAGAAGGCUGAAGACGCCAUGUCUGUAGAGGAUAGGAUUACCGGCUGUGGAUUAUGACCAUUGCAGAAAAAUAGGGAAAAGGAGUCCGUUAUUCUCUUCUAUAUAAUGAAAGACAUCAACCAAGAGA
Molecule: long non-coding RNA, 177 nt
Organism: Telopea speciosissima
Lineage: Eukaryota; Viridiplantae; Streptophyta; Magnoliopsida; Proteales; Proteaceae
Exons: 3
Source: RefSeq, a predicted model, not a curated record